Molecule: long non-coding RNA, 1272 nt
Filed under: Anas platyrhynchos platyrhynchos (common mallard)
Lineage: Eukaryota; Metazoa; Chordata; Aves; Anseriformes; Anatidae
Description: lncRNA (ENSAPLG00000030835.1)
Source: RNAcentral
UUAAGAGUGCAUAAUAUCUUAAAGUUAUCAAAAACUCCUUUGCCAUUGUUGCAUUCAAAUAGUUGGGUCUUUAGUGACAGCAAACGCCAUGAAAGUCAUGAUUAAAUUAUCAGUGCACAUAAUGCUGUGGCUGCCUCUCUAAUUAGAAAAACGAUAAGUAAUGACAAUAAGAUACUUUAGAGUGUGCAUAAAACUCUCUGCAUUGUACAGGAUCAGAGAAAUAAAAUAAGAAAGAGCCUCGCAAAGCUGCAGUGGACUCUCAGGCUUCACAGAGAUGUUGGGAGCAGCCCAAAUGUGGCCAGUGUGAAGUAAGAUUACAAAUUAGGGAGAAGGCAAUGCAGCUGAGUUAGAGGCUGUUGGCAUGAAUGAAUGAUUGUAGGAAAGGAGAAAUAUAUGAAGGGCCAAAGGGAGAGAGUGAGUGAUUUCCAUAAGGUUAGUUAGUGGAGAAAAGACUUGGAUAAUUUAAUGUCUGCAUGUUGAUAUUUGUCCAAGCUAAACUAAAAGGCGGCACUUUCUGUAGUCAGCCUUUCUCAAGUUCAAAUCCCUUUCUGCACUUAGAGAGCUUCAUGGCAACAAAGUGGAAAAAAAAAAAAAAGAUAAAAAAAAAGAUGAUGGCUUCAGGGGAAGAAGACUUUCUCAUGAUCUUCUGUCUCAUACACCAAUGUAUGAGACAAAUAUGUCUUAUCUUUUUCCCAGGCUUAAGAGAUGCAGCAUCAAGACCACUGGAUUUAGAAAUUGUUGGAAGACACUAAAGAGAACCGAUUGCACUUAUGGAUUGCUUAUGAUUUGGAAGAGAAAGUGAAUGCUUGAGUGCUUUACUCCAGUUCACACCUCACCCAGAUUUCUUUAUGUCCAAAUAAUGUUUGGGUCCUAGGAAGAGCUGCAUAAAACAAAGGUGCCAGUCCAGGCUUUAAGCAGUGAAGUGGCACUUAAAAUUAGAGCUUUUGAGUGCAGUGUGUAAAAGUCCGGCCAAAUGGGGGAAUCUCUGAAAUUGUGACUCUGAUUGAAAGAUCUUUACAUAUACCUAGGUAUUCACCUCCACUUGCUGCCACACAAAAUCUUUCGAUGGAUUAGGCACACAACUAGAAUAUCAUCUAUUAUAAUGUUAUAAUGUCAUCCAUUCUUUUGCAGCACUGCAUCUGCUAAUUUCCCUUUCCCCACCUUGUUUUCACCUUUUAACCUAAAUAUCUGUUCCCACAGUUCCAAUCUUGUUUUCUUGUUUCUGUGAGCCAUGCAAAUAAAUCCAUCUGACCUGCAUAAUGUAUUGUUUGG